AAAAGAGGAAAGAGGGAGAGAGUCCAUCCAAGCUUUCACAACUCACUCUCUUGUGUUUGAAAAUAUCUGAUUUCAUUAUUUUCUAUAAUUAAUUUCUAGAACAUCUAUUCUGAGGAAAAUGCUAGAAAGAAAUAUGCUAUUCAUUUGUAUCAGCGUUACUCUUUGUUGAUAUUAAAUGGCUUAGUCACUUUAUGGGGGAAAUAAAGAGGUUGAUUCAUGGUGAUGUGACCCUCUCGCCACUUCUGGUUCCCUUUUUCCUGCUAUAUAUCAAGACCUACAGCCCUUGGGAAGUGCAUUUCUGCAUUCGAAGAAGAACCUGAGAGAAACCUGACGCAGGGAGCAUGGGUAUCUGGACCUCAGGCACUGAUAUCUUCCUAAGUCUUUGGGAGAUUUACGUGUCUCCAAGAAGCCCCGGAUGGAUGGACUUUAUCCAGCAUUUGGGAGUUUGCUGUUUGGUUGCUCUUAUUUCAGUGGGCCUCCUGUCUGUGGCCUUCUGCUGGUUUCUGUCAUCAAUCAUAGCGGCCGCUGCCUCCUGGAUUAUCACGUGUGUUCUGCUGUGUUGCUCCAAGCAUGC
Molecule: small RNA, 574 nt
Filed under: Pan troglodytes (chimpanzee)
Lineage: Eukaryota; Metazoa; Chordata; Mammalia; Primates; Hominidae
Description: processed transcript
Source: RNAcentral